GCUGCUUAUAAAUUAAGUUUUGAUUCUGGGAAUAGAAUAUCACAGUCUAUCUGUGACCAGUCUUGUGGGUGUGGUCUUCCCAGGUUCCUGGCUCUCCGGCACAGCGGCUGACAAUCUGCCAAUCAAGCCUUGGCUUAAAUACUCUGUGCUCCUGACUGUCAGCGCCAGAUUGUUGUUCUCACUCCAGUGGCCACCAUAACUGGACCUCAGUUCAACCACGCUAUCUUUGACCCCGCAGACCAGCUCCGGAUAAUUCAUCAGCACUAUUCUACUCACCGUCUGUUAUCAUUAAAACCCUCUUUUGAACCUCAA
Molecule: long non-coding RNA, 312 nt
Organism: Micropterus dolomieu (smallmouth bass)
Lineage: Eukaryota; Metazoa; Chordata; Actinopteri; Centrarchiformes; Centrarchidae
Exons: 2
Source: RefSeq, a predicted model, not a curated record